GACAGAGGUGCCGAGCGUUAGGCGGAAUCACUGGGCUUAAAGCGUGUGUAGGCGGACCGUUAAGUACCUUGUGAAAUCCCACGGCUCAACCGUGGAACGGCUGGGUAUACUGGCGGUCUUGAGCGGCCUAGGGGCAGAUGGAACAGACGGUGGAGCGGUGAAAUGCGUAGAUAUCGUAAGGAAGACCAGUGGCGAAGGCGGGUCUCUGGACAGUUCCUGACGCUGAGGCACGAAGGCCAGGGGAGCAAACGGG
Molecule: ribosomal RNA, 253 nt
Filed under: uncultured bacterium
Lineage: Bacteria
Description: partial 16S ribosomal RNA
Rfam family: Bacterial small subunit ribosomal RNA
Source: RNAcentral